UACCAGCACCCCGAGUGGUCGGGACAUUUAUUGGGCCUAAAGCAUCCGUAGCCGGUUCUACAAGUCUUCCGUUAAAUCCAGCUGCUUAACAGAUGGGCUGCGGAAGAUACUAUGGAGCUAGGAGGCGGGAGAGGCAAGCGGUACUCGAUGGGUAGGGGUAAAAUCCGUUGAUCCAUUGAAGACCACCAGUGGCGAAGGCGGCUUGCCAGAACGCGCUCGACGGUGAGGGAUGAAAGCUGGGGGAGCAAACCGG
This 253-nucleotide ribosomal RNA is filed under the name uncultured bacterium. RNAcentral describes it as "partial 16S ribosomal RNA". It matches the Rfam family "Archaeal small subunit ribosomal RNA", at positions 474 to 727 of the family's 1478-position model. The record is from RNAcentral.